Molecule: ribosomal RNA, 455 nt
Filed under: uncultured Anoxybacillus sp.
Lineage: Bacteria; Bacillati; Bacillota; Bacilli; Caryophanales; Anoxybacillaceae
Description: bacterial SSU rRNA
Rfam family: Bacterial small subunit ribosomal RNA
Source: RNAcentral
AAGCGGUGGAGCUAUGUGGUUUAAUUCGACGCAACGCGAAGAACCUUACCAGGGCUUGACAUCCCUCGACCGCGUAUGAAAGUACGUUUCACCUCGGGUGACAGGGAGACAGGUGGUGCAUGGUUGUCGUCAGCUCGUGUCGUGAGAUGUUGGGUUAAGUCCCGCAACGAGCGCAACCCUCGACCUUAGUUGCCAGCAUUCAGUUGGGCAUUCUAAGGUGACUGCCGGCUAAAAGUCGGAGGAAGGUGGGGAUGACGUCAAAUCAUCAUGCCCCUUAUGACCUGGGCUACACACGUGCUACAAUGGGCGGUACAAAGGGUCGCGAACCCGCGAGGGGGAGCCAAUCCCAAAAAGCCGCUCUCAGUUCGGAUUGCAGGCUGCAACUCGCCUGCAUGAAGCCGGAAUCGCUAGUAAUCGCGGAUCAGCAUGCCGCGGUGAAUACGUUCCCGGGCCUU